GGCGCCGUAGCCGAGUGGCACAGGCGAGGGAUUGCAAAUCCCUUUACCCGGGUUCAAUUCCCGGCGGCGCCUCCA
This 75-nucleotide transfer RNA is filed under the name Armatimonadota bacterium. Its description in RNAcentral is "Armatimonadetes bacterium (hot springs metagenome) tRNA-Cys". It matches the Rfam family "tRNA". From Rfam's summary of the family: Transfer RNA (tRNA) molecules are approximately 80 nucleotides in length. Their secondary structure includes four short double-helical elements and three loops (D, anti-codon, and T loops). RNAcentral also lists the same sequence under 1 other name. Lineage: Bacteria; Bacillati; Armatimonadota. The record is from RNAcentral.